UGGAACUUAAUUCAUUUGUUAUUGGAAGCAAAAGAGCAGAGUAAUUGAAUUAAAACCUUCGCCUCACUUAAGGCUUGUAAACCGCAGUUUCAUUCAGCUCCUUUUUAUUUACAAUGAAUAUCAACCCAUAAUUGAAGUUCAAGAAGAAGUUAGGGAAAUAUAAAUGAAAAUGCUUUUUAAAUAAAGCAGUGUGGGCCAGGCCAUGCGCCUGUGUCCUGGGUCUCCGUGAGGGCUCCCGGAACGGGCUUUCCUCCUCCUUGGGUCUGGGGGCGCCCUGCACCCCCACUCCUAGGCCUGGUUUCCUUGUGAGGGAGUCCAGGCAGAGGCCAGGCUGCAGCCCACCCUCAGGUGCAGGUACAAGAAACCGCCUGGCCUGGGCCGACAGAGCCCCGAAUGGCAGCAGUGGACGAGGAAGGCGCAGCCCCAGGAGCCCGGGGAAGCGGAGGCAGCCUGGACUCUGGCAGGAGCUGGCCCUGUCCCCUGUCAUCCUGUCUGAGACACUGCAGGAGAUGUCAUUUCUAAAAUCAAGAGGGAACGGAGACAGUGGAACAGAGGGAAUUAUCAACAAAGUCAUAAAUUCUAAACGGAGUCUCUGGGGUCCAAAGGGACCACACAGGUGCACCUGCUCCUUAGGAACCGAAGCGGAAGCAGGGCACAUGGAGACACAUCCCAAAAUGUGGGCUCCGAGGGUCCUGAAACCGUCAGGCAGGCAGACCAGCUGCGGGGAGGGCACCCGAGUUCCCCAAGGCAGCCCUGGAGCCCAAAAGGGUGGGGGGCAACUCUUGAGAUCCUCGGGGAAAACCAUGCAGAGCUCGGGAGCUUUGCUCAGACCAGGUGCGAGCACACAGUCAGCCUGCACAUAGCUCCAUCUGUGCCCGCACUUCUGCCAGCACACAGUCAGCCUGCACAUAGCUCCAUCUGUGCCCGCACUUCUGCCAGCACACAGUCAGCCUGCACAUAGCUCCAUCUGUGCCCGCACUUCUGCCAGCACACAGUCAGCCUGCACAUAGCUCUGUAUUCAUGCCCUUCUGCGCCCGCAUUUCCCUGGGGCACACAGAGCCUGCACAUAGCUCCAUCUGUGCCCGCACUUCCCCCAGCACACUCAGCCUGCACAUAGCUCCGUAUUCAUGCCCUUCUGUGCCCACACUUCCCCAGGGCACACAGUCAGCCUGCACAUAGCUCCAUCUGUGCCCGCACUUCCCCCAGCACAGUCAGCCUGCACAUAGCUCCAUCUGUGCCUGCACUUUCCCCAGGGCACACAGUCAGCCUGCACAUAGUUCUGUAUGCGCCCGCACUUCCCCGGGGCACACAGCCUGCACAAAGCUCCAUCUGUGCCUGUAGGUGCCUGCACUUGUCCUGGGCACACAGUCAGCCUGCCAGUACCCACGGCUCCAGGCAGCUCAGGGACCCAGGUCCUUCUGACCUGCACCGCCCAGGGCCCCUGCCACACAGCAGGUGACCCUGGAUCAGAAUGAGUGGCUCGAGUGCUGUGCCCACUCGGUAGGAUGAACAGGCGUGCAGCUGAGAUGCCUGCGUCCCACGCCCGAGUGCGGGCCCCUGCCACACAGCAGGUGACCCUGGCUCAGCAUGAGUGGCUCGAGCACUGUGCCCACGCGGUCUCCCGGGACGGAAGACGAGCAGGCGUGCAGCUGAGAUGCCUGCGUCCCACGCCCGAGUGCUGGGCUUCGCCCUGACCCCGACUUCGGCUCUUGUGGACUCUGGCAGACGGGGACGAUGGCUUGAGUGGCUGGGUCCCGGAUGGCCACGGGGGAGGGCUGGUUGCGGCUCCGGCUCCUGGCUGCGGCACUGGUGCACUCCUGGCUGUUGUGGGCAGUGAGCUCCAGGGAGUAGGGGCUGUCGCCCUCUCUGUCACCUCUCAGAAUAAAUAUGCAAAUAAAUAAAUAUAAUUUUUAAAA
This 1916-nucleotide long non-coding RNA is filed under the name Oryctolagus cuniculus (rabbit). RNAcentral describes it as "lncRNA (ENSOCUG00000032648.1)". Lineage: Eukaryota; Metazoa; Chordata; Mammalia; Lagomorpha; Leporidae. The record is from RNAcentral.